Non-coding RNA from Cinara cedri, 231 nucleotides. The record is from the annotation of a GenBank genome assembly. Lineage: Eukaryota; Metazoa; Arthropoda; Insecta; Hemiptera; Aphididae.
AAUAUAUUAUUGUAUGUAUACUCUCGUAUAAUGUCCUGUUCGUGUGGUAGACUGAGAAACGAAAAUAAUCAUUAGGUAUAUAUUUUAUACGGAUAAUUGAACGCGUUUUGACUGGUCCAAAGACAAAAAAUAAAAUAAUCUGGCAAUAAAUAUCAACAUGUAGUCGUAUAGCUAUUAUAGGCCUGCGGCCAUAUUAUUUCGAAGUCGUUAUAAUAUCGUGCAGCCCUCGUG